Molecule: long non-coding RNA, 543 nt
Organism: Anguilla rostrata (American eel)
Lineage: Eukaryota; Metazoa; Chordata; Actinopteri; Anguilliformes; Anguillidae
Exons: 2
Source: RefSeq, a predicted model, not a curated record
UACGUAGCAAAUAGGGUAAACGUCCCUAUUAAGCCCACGUACCAUAUAAGCCCACUUGCAACUUCUGAGUCAAAUCAAAAAAAACUACAUCAUCAUUUUUUGCUGUGUGAUGUUUUUUCAAAUGAAGCUGCUUGUUACGUAAAUGACACUUUUUAUUGUAAGUCAAUCACAUUUAUCGAUAUUGAGUUAUCGAAGCACAUGUGUGGCAUGUGCCUGCUGAUCCCAGAAGAAGUUGCAAAAAAACUUAGGGUAUAUUUCUACUCCUGUUUUUGGAAAGUACUCACUUGUUAUCAAAAUUUAAGUGAUUAGUGUUUUGAAUGAGACAUAUGUUAGAAUAUUACCUGAAUUAGAAAUAUUGUGUCUUUUGAAAUCAAAAUAUGAGUUUUAGCACGCUAGCAAACAGACCACAUGCUGCAUCAAUACAGUAGCUACAUAGUAUGGUUCAUUGCAAUGACAUAAAGCAUGAUAAGCAUGUAUAGUUUAUAUUUUUGUAUGCAGUUUAUAUUAUUAUACUGUUAAAUAGACAAUAAAUGUGUAUGUUUA